CUUAGUUUGGAGGAACGUGGUACAAUUUUUGGCUUUGGAGCGGACCUGGACCUCUUGUACGGAAAGCUGAACAUGAACAGUACCUGCUGGAAAACACUUCUGGGCAUAUCACCUCCCGCAGCCAAACACUGUAUUACCAAAGGACACAUCAGCAGUUGGAAGGUUUAAGGUCUCCUUCCAGUCCUCACUGUGGAUGACAUCAGACAUCAUCGUCAUGUGCCAAAUUUACACCUGCAGGACACAGUAUGCUUCACUUUUGUGUCACUCUUAUUGACUCAGUGAUUCAGGAAUCAGGUGCUGGUUGGCAGAUGAGGAGAUGAACAGGAGUGACCGCAUAAAUCCUGAAUACGAGGUGGCAGUUGAACGAGGUCGUCAUCUCUGGCAUCGAGGUCAACCCCUCAAACGGGAAUGUGCAACCAUAUCACACCCUGCAAGGAAAGAGCAACCUGAGACGUUCUCCAUAUAGACCACCGUAAUCAAGGAUGUAUUUAUCUUUGCUGCCUAAGGAUGAGG
This is a long non-coding RNA of Etheostoma spectabile (orangethroat darter), 513 nucleotides long. RefSeq lists it as uncharacterized. The record is from RefSeq and is a predicted model, not a curated record. Lineage: Eukaryota; Metazoa; Chordata; Actinopteri; Perciformes; Percidae. The transcript is spliced from 3 exons.